UCUUAGAACGGAAAAUGUCAGAGAUGGGAGGGCAUUAGAAUAAGGGAUGGCAGAACUGGGAGUGAUUUUAGAACAGGGAGUAUCAGAGCUGGGAAUAUUAGAACAUGGGAUAUCAAGGCUGGAACACUUCAAUGUUUUGAAAGGUCUCCAUCUUCCACAUGGAAACUCCCUUUACUGGCAUAGAUGGCAACCCUUCCAUGUUUCAAUAGAUGGCAACAGCUUGGUCCAAUUAUGAAAAGACUUUGGAAUAUUUAACAUCAGGUGCAAUAGAGACCUCCUGGGGAGAGAAAGAUUCUUCGAGCAAAGUGGUUAGUGAACUGGUCCUGGAAUUAGGAGAGCCUGCUUUCAACCUCAGACACUUACCAGUUGCAUGAUCCAUGACAAGUCAUUUAACCCCAAUUGCCUCAACAACAAUAACGGGACAACAAAGAAAACAAAGAAAAGAAAAUGAAGUUCAAGGUAAGUGAUGGAUAAUAAGUUCUAAAUAAAUAUUUGUUGAUUAUCAGUCACUGAGCUAAGAUCUGAGGUAUGGUGACCAUAGAAGGUCAAAUAAUUA
Sarcophilus harrisii (Tasmanian devil) is the source of this 556-nucleotide long non-coding RNA. RefSeq lists it as uncharacterized. The record is from RefSeq and is a predicted model, not a curated record. Lineage: Eukaryota; Metazoa; Chordata; Mammalia; Dasyuromorphia; Dasyuridae. The transcript has 3 exons.